Molecule: ribosomal RNA, 448 nt
Filed under: uncultured bacterium
Lineage: Bacteria
Description: partial 16S ribosomal RNA
Rfam family: Bacterial small subunit ribosomal RNA
Source: RNAcentral
UCUCCAGACUCCUACGGGAGGCAGCAGUGGGGAAUAUUGCACAAUGGGGGAAACCCUGAUGCAGCGACGCCGCGUGAGUGAAGAAGUAUCUCGGUACGUAAAGCUCUAUCAGCAGGGAAGAAACUGACGGUACCUGAUUAAGAAGCCCCGGCUAACUACGUGCCAGCAGCCGCGGUAAUACGUAGGGGGCAAGCGUUAUCCGGAUUUACUGGGUGUAAAGGGAGCGUAGACGGCGGUGCAAGCCAGAUGUGAAAGCCCGGGGCUCAACCCCGGGACUGCAUUUGGAACUGUGCUGCUAGAGUGUCGGAGAGGCAGGCGGAAUUCCUAGUGUAGCGGUGAAAUGCGUAGAUAUUAGGAGGAACACCAGUGGCGAAGGCGGCUUACUGGACUGUAACUGACGUUGAGGCUCGAAAGCGUGGGGAGCAAACAGGAUUAGAUACCCCUGUAC